AGAGUUUGAUCCUGGCUCAGAACGAACGCUGGCGGCGCGUUUUAAGCAUGCAAGUCGAACGGGAUUAUGGUGCUUGCACCAUAUGAGAGUGGCGAACGGGUGAGUAACACGUAGAUGAUCUGCCCUGCGAUUGGGGAUAGCCCAUGGAAACAUGGGGUAAUACCGAAUAAGCCCUUAUUACUGUGGUGAUUAGGGGAAAGGUGCUACGGGAUCGUCGUAGGAUGAGUCUGCGGUUCAUUAGUUAGUUGGUGGGGUAAAGGCCUACCAAGGCGACGAUGAAUAGCCGGCCUGAGAGGGUGAACGGCCACACUGGGACUGAGACACGGCCCAGACUCCUACGGGAGGCAGCAGCUAAGAAUCUUCCGCAAUGGACGCAAGUCUGACGGAGCGACGCCGCGUGAAUGAUGAAGGCCGGAAGGUUGUAAAGUUCUUUUACUGGGGAAGAAUAAAGUCUGGAGGAAAUGCCAGGCAGAUGACAUUAACCAGUGAAUAAGCCACGGCUAAUUACGUGCCAGCAGCCGCGGUAACACGUAAGUGGCAAGCGUUGUUCGGAAUUAUUGGGCGUAAAGGGCGUGUAGGCGGUUUAGCAAGCCUGGUGUGAAAUACUCCAGCUCAACUGGAGGGACGCGCUGGGAACUGUUAGACUAGAGUAAUGGAUGGGGAGUUGGAAUUCCAGGUGUAGGGGUGAAAUCUGUAGAUAUCUGGAAGAACACCGGAGGCGAAGGCGAACUCCUGGCCAAGAACUGACGCUAAUGCGCGAAAGUGUGGGGAGCGAACAGGAUUAGAUACCCUGGUAGUCCACACUGUAAACGAUGUACACUAGGUGUUGGGGGUUUAACCUCAGUGCCGAAGCUAACGC
This 859-nucleotide ribosomal RNA is filed under the name oral metagenome. Its description in RNAcentral is "bacterial SSU rRNA". It matches the Rfam family "Bacterial small subunit ribosomal RNA", at positions 8 to 858 of the family's 1533-position model. The record is from RNAcentral.